Molecule: ribosomal RNA, 1195 nt
Filed under: Flagellaria indica
Lineage: Eukaryota; Viridiplantae; Streptophyta; Magnoliopsida; Poales; Flagellariaceae
Description: eukaryotic LSU rRNA
Rfam family: Eukaryotic large subunit ribosomal RNA
Source: RNAcentral
UUUAAGCAUAUAAAUAAGCGGAGGAGAAGAAACUUACGAGGAUUCCCCUAGUAACGGCGAGCGAACCGGGACGAGCCCAGCUUGAGAAUCGGGCGGCGGCGUCGCCCGAGUUGUGGUCUGGAGAAGCGUCCUCAGCGACGGACCGGGCCCAAGUCCCCUGGAAAGGGGCGCCGGGGAGGGUGAGAGCCCCGUCCGGCCCGGACCCUGCCGCACCACGAGGCACUGUCGGCGAGUCGGGUUGUUUGGGAACGCAGCCCAAAUCGGGCGGUAAACUCCGUCCAAGGCUAAAUACGGGCGAGAGACCGAUAGCGAACAAGUACCGCGAGGGAAAGAUGAAAAGGACUUUGAAAAGAGAGUCAAAGAGUGCUUGAAAUUGUCGGGAGGGAAGCGGAUGGGGGCCGGCGAUGCGCCCCUGCCGGAUGCGGAACGGCUCGGGCCGGUCCGCCGCUCGGCUCGGGGCGUGGGCCGUCGUCGGCUGCGCCGGCGGCCAAAGCCCGGGCGGGUUACAUCCCGCCCCGGAGUCCGUCGUCGGCAAGGCCGGCGCGCGCGCGCCAUGGCGUGCCCCUCGGGGCACGGGCGCGAAGGACGGCCUGCGGGCUCCCCAUCCGACCCGUCUUGAAACACGGACCAAGGAGUCUGACAUGCGUGCGAGUCGACGGGCGCGAAAACCCGGGAGGCGCAAGGAAGCUGACGAGCGGGAACCCCCUCGGGGGGGCAGCACCGCCGGCCGACCCCGAUCUUCUGUGAAGGGUUCGAGUCGGAGCACGCCUGUCGGGACCCGAAAGAUGGUGAACUAUGCCUGAGCGAGGCGAAGCCAGAGGAAACUCUGGUGGAGGCCCGAAGCGAUACUGACGUGCAAAUCGUUCGUCUGACUUGGGUAUAGGGGCGAAAGACUAAUCGAACCAUCUAGUAGCUGGUUCCCUCCGAAGUUUCCCUCAGGAUAGCUGGAGCCCGUUCGAGUUCUAUCGGGUAAAGCCAAUGAUUAGAGGCAUCGGGGGCGCAACGCCCUCGACCUAUUCUCAAACUUUAAAUAGGUAGGACGGCGUGGCUGCUCCGAUGAGCCGCGCCUCGGAAUCGAGAGCUCCAAGUGGGCCAUUUUUGGUAAGCAGAACUGGCGAUGCGGGAUGAACCGGAAGCCGGGUUACGGUGCCGAACUGCGCGCUAACCUAGAACCCACAAAGGGUGUUGGUCGAUU